AGUGUCACUGGCGAAGCCAUCAAGCACUCCCUUGGAGCUCAAAAUCCAGUAUGUGUAGCUUGCGCUCGUUUCUGAUGCUCUCAUGUUUCCUUCACCCGAUUUGUGAUCGUUGCAGGUCCGGCUGGUUCCUUACAACCCGGAUUACCUGGAUGAAUCUGUUCUGUGGGCUGAGAGCAAUGACACUGGCAAAGGCUACAGGUGCAUCAGGAUGGUGAACAACAUCCGCUUGAACUUUGAUGCUUUCCAUGGAGACAAGGACCACGGAGGAGUGCGAGACGGAACCACGGUGGUGCUGUGGGAGUGGCUCAAAGGGGACAACCAGCGGUGGAAGAUCGAACCCCAAUGUAAGUUCUACCUCAAAAAGGAGAAACUUUGAGCUCUUGCUGCAGCAUCUGCUAAGAAUUUUGUCCUUGAUUGAUCUCAAUUUCUCCACGGAAGUAGAGGCAGCAAUCAGCUUCGCUGAUCAAUUUCCAUGGCUUUGAUUUCUGUGCUAAGAAUGAAGUAGAUCGAGCAUAUUUAGCUGCUCUUUGUUCAGUAUUGUUUGGUAUACCGUGCAGCCUCCGACCCUCCUCCCCCCACCAACUACGCCGGCGGCAGGCCGCCACAGCGUACUGUUCGGAUCUUGACCAAGGCAGGGCCGGAUUACUCCCUCACCGUCCGUGAUGGAAGAGUGGUGCUUGCACCCACUGAUCCCAACGAUGACUACCAGGCAAGAUUGAUCCGUGACAAGUCUUCUCUUGGAUUUCGUGGCGAGAUUUUUGGCUGUUGUCUCACUUCGUUUGUUCUUUUGGAUUGCAGCGUUGGUACAAGGACAUGAGGUACGGGACCGAGGUGAAGGACGAAGAAGGUUUCCCAAGCUUUGCUCUCGUCAACAAAGUGACCGGCGAAGCUAUCAAGCACUCCAUCGGAGCUACGAAUCCAGUGAGUUCAGCAGCUGAAACACCACUUGAAUUGCUAAUUCCUCACUUCAUUCCUGGUAUUUGUGUGUCUCAGAUCCGACUGGUUCCAUACAACCCAGAGUACCUCGAUGAGUCCGUUCUGUGGUCUGAGAGUAAUGACACCGGUGAGGGGUACAGGUGCAUCAGGAUGGUGAACAACAUCCGCUUGAACUUUGAUGCCUUCCAUGGAGACAAGGACCAUGGUGGAGUGAGGGAUGGAACCACUAUUGUGCUG
Molecule: long non-coding RNA, 1173 nt
Filed under: Musa acuminata (dwarf banana)
Lineage: Eukaryota; Viridiplantae; Streptophyta; Magnoliopsida; Zingiberales; Musaceae
Description: long non-coding RNA (MACU_LNC006819)
Source: RNAcentral